This 253-nucleotide ribosomal RNA is filed under the name uncultured bacterium. RNAcentral describes it as "partial 16S ribosomal RNA". It matches the Rfam family "Bacterial small subunit ribosomal RNA", at positions 524 to 776 of the family's 1533-position model. The record is from RNAcentral.
UACGAAGGGGGCGAGCGUUGUUCGGAUUUACUGGGCGUAAAGGGCGCGCAGGCGGCUAUCCAAGUCAGGCGUGAAAGCCCCGGGCUUAACCUGGGAGGUGCGUCUGGGACUGGGUGGCUAGAGUUCGGGAGAGGAGAGUGGAAUUCCCAGUGUAGAGGUGAAAUUCGUAGAUAUUGGGAAGAACACCGGUGGCGAAGGCGGCUCACUGGCUCGUAACUGACGCUCAUGCACGACAGCGUGGGGAUCAAACAGG